Long non-coding RNA from Ictalurus punctatus (channel catfish), 495 nucleotides. Lineage: Eukaryota; Metazoa; Chordata; Actinopteri; Siluriformes; Ictaluridae. The record is from Ensembl.
UGUGAGUGUAGGUGUAAUUGUAAGUGUAGCUGUAGGUGUGAGUGUAGGUGUAGGUGUAAGUGUAGGUGUAGGAGUAGGUGUAGGUGUGAGUGUAGGUGUAAUUGUAAGUGUAGCUGUAGGUGUAGGUGUAGGUGUAAGUAUAAGUGUAGGUGUAGGUGUAGGAGUAGGUGUAGGUGUGAGUGUAGGUGUAAUUGUAAGUGUAGCUGUAGGUGUGAGUGUAGGUGUAGAUGUAAAUGUAGGAGUAUUUGUAGGUGUAAGUGUAGGUGUAAGUAUAAGUGUAGGUGUAGGUGUAGGUGUAGGUGUAAGUGUAGGUGUGAGUGUAGGUGUAAGUAUAAGUGUAGGUGUAGAUGUAAAUGUAGGAGUAGGUGUAGGUGUAGGUGUAAGUGUAGGUGUAGGUGUGAGUGUAGGUGUAAGUAUAAGUGUAGGUGUAGAUGUAAAUGUAGGAGUAGGUGUAGGUGUAAGUGUAAGUGUAGGUGUAAGUGUAGGUGUAGGUGU